RNAcentral lists this unclassified non-coding RNA (274 nucleotides) under Hevea brasiliensis (rubber tree). The record is from RNAcentral. Lineage: Eukaryota; Viridiplantae; Streptophyta; Magnoliopsida; Malpighiales; Euphorbiaceae.
UCAGAGGAGAGAAAGGCAUGAAAGAAAGCUGAGGAGAGAUGACAGAGGGGGUUGAUCGACACAUUGGGAGUAUCAAAAUGAAAAUUCCAUCUUUCUAAGGAAAGAAUGAUCCAGAUGUUUACCUUAAGUGGGAACGCAAAGUUGAGCUAGCCUUCGACUAUCACAACUAUUCAGAAGAGAAAAAGGCAAAACUUGCUGCUGUUGAAUUUACCGACUAUGCUCUUGUAUGGUAGAAGUGGUAUUAAUUGAAGAUAAGUUGAGAGAAGAGAGAUUG